GAGCAGAACCAGCUAAAGGAUUCUAAUUAAACAGGGUCCUCUAAGACAUCCCACUUCAAGACCCUAACCAUUACAGAUGAGCUAUAAAGAGGUUUUGAAUGACAGUGGCUAAUUUACACAUAUUCUUGGAGUAAAUAUCAGAUUAAAGUUUGAAUGUGUCAUCCCAUUGCCUUCUGGCCUUCAUAGCUUCAAUGAGGUAUCAGCUGUUAAUCUCAUUGAGACUCCUUGACACAUGAUGAGUCAGUUUUGCUAUUUUCAAGAUGCUCUCUGUCUUUGACAGAGAUACACUCAGAGGAAAAACAAAAAUAAAAAUAAAAACAUGUGAAGACACAGGGAGAAGAUGGCCAUCU
This is a long non-coding RNA of Suricata suricatta (meerkat), 350 nucleotides long. RefSeq lists it as uncharacterized. The record is from RefSeq and is a predicted model, not a curated record. The transcript is spliced from 3 exons. NCBI's taxonomy places the organism in Eukaryota, Metazoa, Chordata, Mammalia, Carnivora, Herpestidae.